AUUAAACGCUGGCGGCAUGCCUUACACAUGCAAGUCGAACGGCAGCACGGGGGCAACCUUGGUGGCGAGUGGCGAACGGGUGAGUAAAGCAUCGGAACGUGCCCUGGAGUGGGGGAUAACGUAGCGAAAGUUACGCUAAUACCGCAUAUUCUGUGAGCAGGAAAGCAGGGGAUCGCAAGACCUUGCGCUCUGGGAGCGGCCGAUGUCGGAUUAGCUAGUUGGUGGGGUAAAGGCCUACCAAGGCAACGAUCCGUAGCGGGUCUGAGAGGAUGAUCCGCCACACUGGGACUGAGACACGGCCCAGACUCCUACGGGAGGCAGCAGUGGGGAAUUUUUGGACAAUGGGCGCAAGCCUGAUCCAGCCAUGCCGCGUGAGUGAAGAAGGCCUCGGUUGGUAAGUACGUACGUUCGUCCGGGUACGGAAACGUACGUACCGAA
RNAcentral lists this ribosomal RNA (438 nucleotides) under uncultured bacterium. RNAcentral's name for it is "bacterial SSU rRNA". It matches the Rfam family "Bacterial small subunit ribosomal RNA", at positions 29 to 469 of the family's 1533-position model. The record is from RNAcentral.